RNAcentral lists this small nuclear RNA (23 nucleotides) under Arabidopsis thaliana (thale cress). Its description in RNAcentral is "snRNA_09050". Lineage: Eukaryota; Viridiplantae; Streptophyta; Magnoliopsida; Brassicales; Brassicaceae. The record is from RNAcentral.
AAUCGAUUUCCUACGGGAGAUUU